GAAAUGCGAUAAGUAAUGUGAAUUGCAGAAUUCAGUGAAUCAUCGAAUCUUUGAACGCACAUUGCGCCCGCCAGUAUUCUGGCGGGCAUGCCUGUCCGAGCGUCAUUUCAACCAUCAAGCCCCCGGGCUUGUGUUGGGGACCUGCGGCUGCCCGCAGGCCCUGAAAACCAGUGGCGGGCUCGCUGUCACACCGAGCGUAGUAGCAAUCACCUCGCUCAGGGCGUGCUGCGGGUUCCGGCCGUUAAACAGCCUUUUUUACCCAAGGUUGACCUCGGAUCAGGUAGGAAGACCCGCUGAACUUAAGC
This 305-nucleotide unclassified non-coding RNA is filed under the name plant metagenome. RNAcentral describes it as "partial contains 5.8S ribosomal RNA, internal transcribed spacer 2, and large subunit ribosomal RNA". The stretch from base 1 to 105 matches the Rfam family "5.8S ribosomal RNA", at positions 50 to 154 of the family's 154-position model. The record is from RNAcentral.